GAUGAACGCUGACAGAAUGCUUAACACAUGCAAGUCAACUUGAAUUUGGGUUUUUAACUUAGGUUUGGGUGGCGGACGGGUGAGUAACGCGUAAAGAACUUGCCCCACAGGUAGGGACAACAUUUGGAAACGAAUGCUAAUACCUAAUAUUAUGAUAAUAGGGCAUCCUAUAAUUAUGAAAGCUAUAAGCGCUGUGAGAGAGCUUUGCGUCCCAUUAGCUAGUUGGAGAGGUAACGGCUCACCAAGGCGAUGAUGGGUAGCCGGCCUGAGAGGGUGAUCGGCCACAAGGGGACUGAGACACGGCCCUUACUCCUACGGGAGGCAGCAGUGGGGAAUAUUGGACAAUGGACCGAGAGUCUGAUCCAGCAAUUCUGUGUGCACGAUGAAGUUUUUCGGAAUGUAAAGUGCUUUCAGUUGGGAAGAAACAAAUGACGGUACCAACAGAAGAAGUGACGGCUAAAUACGUGCCAGCAGCCGCGGUAAUACGUAUGUCACGAGCGUUAUCCGGAUUUAUUGGGCGUAAAGCGCGUCUAGGUGGUUAUGUAAGUCUGAUGUGAAAAUGCAGGGCUCAACUCUGUAUUGCGUUGGAAACUGUAUAACUAGAGUACUGGAGAGGUAAGCGGAACUACAAGUGUAGAGGUGAAAUUCGUAGAUAUUUGUAGGAAUGCCGAUGGGGAAGCCAGCUUACUGGACAGAUACUGACGCUGAAGCGCGAAAGCGUGGGUAGCAAACAGG
Molecule: ribosomal RNA, 735 nt
Filed under: uncultured Fusobacterium sp.
Lineage: Bacteria; Fusobacteriati; Fusobacteriota; Fusobacteriia; Fusobacteriales; Fusobacteriaceae
Description: bacterial SSU rRNA
Rfam family: Bacterial small subunit ribosomal RNA
Source: RNAcentral